Non-coding RNA from Vicugna pacos (alpaca), 1244 nucleotides. The record is from RefSeq and is a predicted model, not a curated record. Lineage: Eukaryota; Metazoa; Chordata; Mammalia; Artiodactyla; Camelidae.
UACUGGAGAUUGAUCUCAGGACCUCGUGCAGGCUAAGCACGCGCUCCACCGCUGAGCUGCAUCCUCCCCCUGACCUGUUAAUUUUGGUGGAAAGCCAGGCUUGGAUGAAUUUUGGGGAAGUGAGGAGGGUCCAGAAAAGUCAGAAUGAUGCCUUGGGUACCUACAGUCACCCCAAUGACAACCUGUGUGGAGGCACAUACUUCGGACCCUUAAGGGCAAGAGCGCUCCUGUAAGAGCUGCAGGACCUCGACCCAGGUCACGAUGCAGUGCUGCCUCCGUCAGUGGGUACCAGACGUGGGAAAGCACACGCCACACUUGGGAGAGCAGCGCUCCUGUGCUAAGCUUGCUGAGCCGUUUGCGUCACCGGGAGCCCUGCACUGGAAAGUCAGUGAACAGGGACCCUCGGUGGUGGCCGGGACUCGCACCCUCCUCCGGGCAGACACAGCUGCGUGACAACAUCCCCCCAGGACCCGCCUUCCGCAGGAUUAGAGGGUGAGGCUGAAGGUGAUCGUGACCCCAAAUGGUGCUGCCUGAUAAGAUCCUGUAAAUAGGGCCCAGAUGAGCAGAAGUUAAAAUUGGAGAAUGGAGAAUUUCGCCACAGUUCUCUGAGAACAGGCCUGCCUGGCCCUGAGACAGGAGGGAAGAGGGAAGGGCACUGCCAUUCAAGAAAUAACACAGCAGUUAGCACCAAGAUGGCGUAAAACUCAAUUCCCACCAGGCCUGAGGCCCAGGACGGUGGGAGACUUGCCUUCCAGCGGCCUCAAUCGGCGCCCUGUGCUCCCUGUAGUGUGCUAACGCGUCAUAUGUCCCCGGUAGAAACUCAAGUGACGCAGGAGGACACAGCGGACAACGGAGCCCCUAUCCUCUGGUCCCCUCCCCAGCCUUUCUGCUCCGAGUCAACCUUGCAAGAUAUAGGAUUAAACUGUCUUUGCGUGCCUGGGGAGACCUUCCAUGCAUCAGCGGCAUUUUCAGUUCAGUCAUCCCUGCUUAUCCCCAGGUUCCCUUUCCCUGGUUUCAGCUACCUGAGGUCCACCUCAGUCUGAAAAUAUUAAGUGGGAAGUUCCAGAAAUAAGCCAUUCCUAAGUUUUAAGUCUCGUGCUGCUCUGAGUCACGUGAUAAAGUCCUGAGCCACCCACUCUGUCCCCUGGGAUCCCCAGCCGUGCACACCAUGUGCUCCCAACAUCCAGCUGUCAGCAUCCUCAGGGCCCCGCAGUCCAGGACCACCUGGAGCACAUGGUCCUCCC